GAUGAACGCUGGCGGCGUGCCUAACACAUGCAAGUCGAGCGAUCUUCUUCGGAAGAGAGCGGCGGACGGGUGAGUAACGCGUGGGUAACCUGCCCUGUACACACGGAUAACAUACCGAAAGGUAUGCUAAUACGAGAUAAUAUGCUUCUAUCGCAUGGUAGAAGUAUCAAAGCUCCGGCGGUACAGGAUGGACCCGCGUCUGAUUAGCUAGUCGGUGAGGUAACGGCUCACCAAGGCGACGAUCAGUAGCCGACCUGAGAGGGUGAUCGGCCACAUUGGAACUGAGACACGGUCCAAACUCCUACGGGAGGCAGCAGUGGGGAAUAUUGCACAAUGGGCGAAAGCCUGAUGCAGCAACGCCGCGUGAGCGAUGAAGGCCUUCGGGUCGUAAAGCUCUGUCCUCAAGGAAGAUAAUGACGGUACUUGAGGAGGAAGCCCCGGCUAACUAC
This 449-nucleotide ribosomal RNA is filed under the name uncultured bacterium. RNAcentral describes it as "bacterial SSU rRNA". It matches the Rfam family "Bacterial small subunit ribosomal RNA", at positions 28 to 504 of the family's 1533-position model. The record is from RNAcentral.